Molecule: ribosomal RNA, 1389 nt
Filed under: Triticum aestivum (bread wheat)
Lineage: Eukaryota; Viridiplantae; Streptophyta; Magnoliopsida; Poales; Poaceae
Description: partial small subunit ribosomal RNA
Source: RNAcentral
AUGGAUCAGUUGGCCCAUGAGCUGGAAAGUAAACUGGCCACCCUGAACUCAUCCAAGGCGCAGGUCCUCGACCGUCGCCGUCCUUGUUCCAUCAUCGUCGGCAAGGUCCGUGACCUCACGCGGAACGUCGACAGCAGCGAGUACGAUCCUGACCACGUCGACAUCGGCCCGUACAACUACCCUCGGCCCCAGAGCAGAAGCCCACACCUCGCCGUGGAGCACGACAAGCUGGCUAGCCUCGACCUGGUGCUCUCGGCGGCGAAGGCAACGAGACCCACCAUGACGGUAGAGGUCUACCUCAAGGAGCUGGCAUGCCUCGAGCACCACACCAGGAACUGCUACGCCAACACAUUUGAUGACAUGUCGAGCGAGCAAUUCGUGCGCAUGCUCCUCCUCGACGGCUGUUACAUACUGUCCCGCCUCGUCGGACUCCGAGCACAUCAUCUAGAUCUAGAUGAUGUGGGCACUGCAGAGGCCGGCGUCUCGUCGGCAAACAGGGCGGAGGCGCUAGCGGUGGUCCGCGACGUGUUCUAUCUCGCGGAGAACCAGAUACCGUACUUCGUGCUUGAGAAGAUCGGGGAGCUGACCACUUUGGAUGGUAAGGAACGUGUGCUUACAGACAUAUCAAAUUAUUCACUUGAUCUCAUGAGGAGACAAAAGUACGCCAUGGCCGCGCCGGCCAUGGUGCCACCAGAGCCGAUGGUGCCGGGAAAUCUUCUCCAUCUUCUUCAUAUGCACUUGAAGCCUGUUGCACUGUCCGUCUCGCCUGCCAUGCCGGUUAGCACAGUCGAUCCCGUGUCUGUGCGCCGGUGGCGCUCGGCGACGGAGUACAACUUCGCGGGAGUGAAGUUCAAGGCUCGGGCCAUGAGCGAGAAGGGUCUCAUCCGCUGCAUCCUCGACGUGAAGUUGGACGUCGGUGGCGGCACACUGGAGGUCCCCUGCCUGGACAUCGACUCCGAGACAUGGCGGUUAUUACGCAACUUGAUAGAGCUGGAGCAACGGAACCGGGAGACCGUGGGGAGCCACGUCACGGCAUACUGCGUGUUCAUAUCCCAGGUGGCCUGCACCACGAAGGACGUGGAGCUCCUGUCGAAGAGAGGCGUCAUCGUGCAUGGCCAUGGCAACAACGAAGAGGUGGCAAAAUGCUUCGCCGACCUUUGCAAGGGGAUCCAGUUCGACCCGGAUGACCCCGACUGCAACUACCUUCGGGAGACAUGCAAGAAGCUGGAGAAGCGGUUCCACAGCUACCCGCGGAGGUGGAUUGCGUGGCUAAAGCAGAGGUACUUGAGAAACCCUUGGCUAGCCGUUGGCCUCCUGGCAGCUGCUAUUGGCCUAGUUCUCGCAGUCAUCCAAACAGUCUACUCUGUUUUGUGUUACUACAAACAAUGA